RNAcentral lists this ribosomal RNA (449 nucleotides) under uncultured bacterium. Its description in RNAcentral is "partial 16S ribosomal RNA". It matches the Rfam family "Bacterial small subunit ribosomal RNA", at positions 29 to 523 of the family's 1533-position model. The record is from RNAcentral.
AGCGAACGCUGGCGGCAGGCCUAACACAUGCAAGUCGAACGAAGUCUUCGGACUUAGUGGCGGACGGGUGAGUAACACGUGGGAACGUGCCUUUAGGUUCGGAAUAACUCAGGGAAACUUGUGCUAAUACCGAAUGUGCCCUUCGGGGGAAAGAUUUAUCGCCUUUAGAGCGGCCCGCGUCUGAUUAGCUAGUUGGUGAGGUAAAGGCUCACCAAGGCGACGAUCAGUAGCUGGUCUGAGAGGAUGAUCAGCCACAUUGGGACUGAGACACGGCCCAGACUCCUACGGGAGGCAGCAGUGGGGAAUCUUGCGCAAUGGGCGAAAGCCUGACGCAGCCAUGCCGUGUGAAUGAUGAAGGUCUUAGGAUUGUAAAAUUCUUUCACCGGGGACGAUAAUGACGGUACCCGGAGAAGAAGCCCCGGCUAACUUCGUGCCAGCAGCCGCAGUAA